UCCCGGGUCGUCUAAUGGCAGGACACAAGGUUUUGGUCCUUGGAAUCUAGGUUCGAAUCCUAGCCCGGGAACCA
This 74-nucleotide transfer RNA is filed under the name candidate division Kazan bacterium. RNAcentral's name for it is "tRNA-Gln". It matches the Rfam family "tRNA". Rfam says of the family: Transfer RNA (tRNA) molecules are approximately 80 nucleotides in length. Their secondary structure includes four short double-helical elements and three loops (D, anti-codon, and T loops). Further hydrogen bonds mediate the characteristic L-shaped molecular structure. tRNAs have two regions of fundamental functional importance: the anti-codon, which is responsible for specific mRNA codon recognition, and the 3' end, to which the tRNAs corresponding amino acid is attached (by aminoacyl-tRNA synthetases). tRNAs cope with the degeneracy of the genetic code in two manners: having more than one tRNA (with a specific anti-codon) for a particular amino acid; and 'wobble' base-pairing, i.e. permitting non-standard base-pairing at the 3rd anti-codon position. The record is from RNAcentral. RNAcentral also lists the same sequence under 1 other name.